CGGAGUGUAGGCCAGCGGAAAGCCAUCAGUUUUGGGUACUGAAUACCGUGUGUUCGACUCACACCACUCCGACCA
RNAcentral lists this transfer RNA (75 nucleotides) under Lachnospiraceae bacterium. Its description in RNAcentral is "tRNA-Pro". It matches the Rfam family "tRNA". From Rfam's summary of the family: Transfer RNA (tRNA) molecules are approximately 80 nucleotides in length. The record is from RNAcentral. Lineage: Bacteria; Bacillati; Bacillota; Clostridia; Lachnospirales; Lachnospiraceae.